This 226-nucleotide ribosomal RNA is filed under the name uncultured bacterium. Its description in RNAcentral is "partial 16S ribosomal RNA". It matches the Rfam family "Bacterial small subunit ribosomal RNA", at positions 107 to 334 of the family's 1533-position model. The record is from RNAcentral.
UGAGUAACACGUAUCCAACCUGCCGUCUACUCUUGGACAGCCUUCUGAAAGGAAGAUUAAUACAAGAUGGCAUCAUGAGUCCACAUGUUCACAUGAUUAAAGGUAUUCCGGUAGACGAUGGGGAUGCGUUCCAUUAGAUAGUAGGCGGGGUAACGGCCCACCUAGUCUUCGAUGGAUAGGGGUUCUGAGAGGAAGGUCCCCCACAUGGAACUGAGACACGGUCCAA